GGCUACGAACCGAGCGGUCGGAGGUUCGAAUCCUCCCGGAGGAGGAUAACGUUGCUUUAGCAACGGCCCGAAGGGCGAGCCGCAAGGCGAGUAAUCC
This 97-nucleotide small RNA is filed under the name Escherichia coli. Its description in RNAcentral is "RtT sRNA". It matches the Rfam family "RtT RNA", at positions 20 to 116 of the family's 130-position model. Rfam says of the family: This family represents a bacterial cis-regulatory element known as RtT RNA. The exact function of RtT is unknown although it is thought that it may be involved in changing the cellular response in relation to amino acid starvation. The record is from RNAcentral. Lineage: Bacteria; Pseudomonadati; Pseudomonadota; Gammaproteobacteria; Enterobacterales; Enterobacteriaceae.